UUAGCCCGCUUGCUAUUUCCAAUUUAGGGCGCUAAACAAACUUUAAAAUUUUUUGUACAAAAGCUUCUAUUCUUCUCGUUGUUUAGUUUAACAGUUGGACUUUUAGUGGCAGGAGUUACUUUUUUUGGAAGGCUUGCUGUGAUUUUCUUACUGUUUCGGAUCUGCCUUCGGCAAAAAUUUCACUCUAUAAGAUUGGAAUCUGAUCUGAGAAAACGUCAAAAAACAGUAAGCAAAUACUUAGGUAAUCGGCAUAGUUGGAAGGCAUCCUGCUUUCCUUUUCAGUUUUCAUUUGGAGCCCUAAAAACAAGCUGAUUCUCCUGAAAAAAAAACGAGCUUUUGAUUUUUAACCAUUAGACGGUUGCCCGAUCAUUUGACCAAACUUAAUAAAUUUUGGACGUAAAACAUUUUAAUUAUCUGUAACAUUUAGAAUUCUUAAGUUCUUUAAUCUGCAUAAGUAACUAGGCUAUACAUAAUUCAGAAGUUGAGCUCAGUUUAGCGAAAAAUUGGACUAAUUUCUGUCGCAAAAAGAAAUUGCUUGGGAUACCUUUUGUUCACAAUUAAUCAGGCAAACGGGCGCUAGCACUUGUGGGUUUUACUUCACUAAACAUUCCGUUAAUAGUACCCUUAUACCAUCUUUACUAUUACUAACCAAUCAAGAAUUGAGAAACCAAGCAGCUUGACUUGUUUCAGAAAAGUCAAAAUCAAUUAUUAAACCUCUGUUAUAACCAGCAAAAUUUGGAGAAAAGAAAAAACGUGUGUUUUUAAAAAUGAAAUCGCAACUUCAGAAUUCUUCUCGUAAAUUGGGUUCCAUGUCAAGGAUUUCUGCUAUUAUUUUCCAGCUACUGGUUAUCUUUUCGACGACAUCACCGAACACUUCCGCCAAGCCUCUAGUUGCCAAAGAAAACGAAGGUCAACCCGCUGGAUUUUUUGAGCUCAACAACUACGAACCUGCUUAUGCGUAUGAGGACAGUAGCCGAUUCUUUGCUCUAAAAACACCAGCAAACACGGCAACGUACCCUUACCUUGAAGAGCCCAAUUGGCAGGAAAUGGGAAACGAUUACUUGACCUCUAACCCCACAGAAAACAAUUUAGAAGAUGGCAGAUUGGCCGUGAUAGAUGAAAAUGGAGAAGAUAGAAUGGAGGCGAUGAGAAGAAGGAUGUUCAAGAGAAAUGCCUACUUCAUCAAGGCCAAAAUGGGGGGCAGAGGAAGACCACGAAACAGGAGAAACAGACCAUGGGCACACUCCACCCACUAAACGGACCAUAGUUAAUGCCAUGCACUCACCUGUCCAAUUAACAGACCAUAGUUAAUACCAUACAUCCAAUCGACCCACUACAAGGGCCAUAGUUAAUGCCAUACAUCCAAUCGAUCCACUAAAUGGGCCAUAAAAAGAGAACAACGCAAGUGGCGGUCAAAGUUAUCAGCACCUUCCUUUUGUCAGUAAUGAACAACGAAGCAAAAACAGUUUUAAUUCUCUUUUUGAUUUGCUUAAAAAGUUGACAAUACAAUUCAAAACCAACUUGAAAUACACAAUG
Molecule: RNA transcript, 1536 nt
Organism: Symsagittifera roscoffensis
Lineage: Eukaryota; Metazoa; Xenacoelomorpha; Acoela; Convolutidae
Exons: 4
Source: RefSeq, a predicted model, not a curated record